Molecule: ribosomal RNA, 722 nt
Filed under: uncultured Fusobacterium sp.
Lineage: Bacteria; Fusobacteriati; Fusobacteriota; Fusobacteriia; Fusobacteriales; Fusobacteriaceae
Description: bacterial SSU rRNA
Rfam family: Bacterial small subunit ribosomal RNA
Source: RNAcentral
GAUGAACGCUGACAGAAUGCUUAACACAUGCAAGUCAACUUGAACUUCGGUUUGGGUGGCGGACGGGUGAGUAACGCGUAAAGAACUUGCCUCAGAGAUAGGGACAACAUUUGGAAACGAAUGCUAAUACCUGAUAUUAUGAUUUUAGGGCAUCCUAGAAUUAUGAAAGCUAUACGCACUGUGAGAGAGCUUUGCGUCCCAUUAGCUAGUUGGAGAGGUAACGGCUCACCAAGGCGAUGAUGGGUAGCCGGCCUGAGAGGGUGAUCGGCCACAAGGGGACUGAGACACGGCCCUUACUCCUACGGGAGGCAGCAGUGGGGAAUAUUGGACAAUGGACCAAGAGUCUGAUCCAGCAAUUCUGUGUGCACGAUGAAGUUUUUCGGAAUGUAAAGUGCUUUCAGUUGGGAAGAAAAAAAUGACGGUACCAACAGAAGAAGUGACGGCUAAAUACGUGCCAGCAGCCGCGGUAAUACGUAUGUCACAAGCGUUAUCCGGAUUUAUUGGGCGUAAAGCGCGUCUAGGUGGUUAUGUAAGUCUGAUGUGAAAAUGCAGGGCUCAACUCUGUAUUGCGUUGGAAACUGUGUAACUAGAGUACUGGAGAGGUAAGCGGAACUACAAGUGUAGAGGUGAAAUUCGUAGAUAUUUGUAGGAAUGCCGAUGGGGAAGCCAGCUUACUGGACAGAUACUGACGCUGAAGCGCGAAAGCGUGGGUAGCAAACAGG